RNAcentral lists this long non-coding RNA (2534 nucleotides) under Homo sapiens (human). Its description in RNAcentral is "HSALNT0025682". The record is from RNAcentral. Lineage: Eukaryota; Metazoa; Chordata; Mammalia; Primates; Hominidae.
UCUCACUGAGUCCUCACACAAGGCCCGCCUUCCUCAUAGAUGGCGCUUUCUCACUGAGUCCUCACACGAGGCCCGCCUUCCUCAUAGAUGGCACUUUCUCACUGAGUCCUCACGUGGUGGAGGGUGCAAGGGGACUCUCUGGGGUCCCUUUUCUAAGGACAAUAAUCACAUUCAUGAGGCUCCAUCCUCAGGACCCCAUCACCUCCCAAAGGCCCCACCUCCUGACACCAUCACUCUUGGGAUCAGGUUUCGGCACAAGCACUUUGGAGAGACACAGACGCUGAGACCACAGCAGACAGGCAGCACCAGUGUAAGGCAGACCAGUUACUGGCCCCGGGAGAAACGGGAGGCAGGGGUGCCCAACCGUUUGGCUUCCCUGGGCCACACUGGAAGAAGAAAGAAGAAAAAUUAUCUUGAGCCACAUGUAAAAUACACUAACACUAACAAUAGCUGAUAAGCUAUAAAAAAAAUCACCAAAGAAAUAUCAUGUUUUAAGAAAGUUUGCAAAUUCCUGUUGGGCACAUUCAAAGCUGUCCUGGGCUGCAUGUGACCCAUGGGCCAUGGGUUGGACAUGCUUGGAAAUGGACGUCAAACAGAAACAGUCUGCACCUCCAGGAAGGAAGGGAGAAUUUGUGCUGAGAACUUUUGAUUUGCUCACACAUCCCAUAGCCAUUGCUUGAGUCCUCGGGUGCUCAGGGACAGAGGGGAGAAAUUCUGUCCACAAGAAACCUGCAUUGUUUGGUGUAGUGUGUCCCGUGUGUCGUGUGCUCCUGGAGUCUGGACGGAGUGUAGGGUGUGGGGCCACUCCCUUGAGGCUGGUUUAUGGAUGAAAGGGGCAGGGAAUGCACAUGUAAAGAAGCCAAGGUGCCGGGUCACAGUGCGCUUGGAAUGUGUGAGGGUCCCUUCUGCAACAGAGUGUAGGAGAGAGAAGAGGACAAGAGGCUGUUCUCAAUGCCACUCUCAGUACUCUGAACUUCAUCCUGCAGGCAGUGGUAAAUGAUUGACAAGCCUUGAGCAGGGACCAACAUCAUCAGAUCUGUGUUUUAUGGAGGUAGCUAUGGAUGAUGGACCAAAAGGGUUUGGGGCCGUAGGCAGACAGACCAGUCCUGCCUCCUUCUGCCCACCCUCCCCCAUGGGCAGACAGGCGAGCAGGGGGCUUUCUGACCCUCCCUCCUUCCGUCAGAUGCUGUCACUAAGUAGAGAGAUGCGAAGUGUCCCCCGUGUCCAGCACUGCACCAGGUGUUGCAGGUGUGACAGUCCCUCCUGCAUGGUUCACUUGCUGCAGAAGGUAAACACCAGCAAACAGAUAACUAUAUGAAAUAGUAGGAAGUUAUAAAAAGAGCAUGGAAGAAAGAGGGAAGAAGGAAGAGAGACAAAUGCUGAGACAGAGAUGAGAUGGUGAGGGCGAAGGGGACCUACGUCUGAUAAGGUGGUUGUAGAAUCAUCUCUGAGGACAAGGUAUCAAGGUAUUUGAACUGAAACCUCAGCAUGGAUGCAGCCACAUUUAUAGUGAUGCAGGCGAAAAAAGGAGGAGGCUCAGAACUGGGGCAUGGAGAUGAGGAUGGAGAGUAGAGAAAGUCUUGGCUUCCUAAGAAAAUCAUCUUUUUUAGAAAUCACCUGUUUCAUCCUGACAUUGGCAUUCCCAGUAUGAACAUUUCUGUAAGAGCAUUUAAAAGUCCCAUUGAAAACAUAGCCGUGAUCUUGGGACCAUGUGUAGGCUCCAAAAUUUAAUUCUUUCCUCCAUUCAGCAAAAACUGACCAUGUGCCGGCCACAUCCUGAGCAUAGUUCUAGGAGCAGGCACACAUACUGCGGUGAGCAAAGUAAGUUCCUAUUACUUGGCUUAUUGAAGAUGUAACUUUAGCCUACGUGGACAAAGAAAUAGACAAUUUCUAAAAACAGAUACAAUACAAAAUGAAGCUUUAAAUAUGAGCACAACACCCUAUUCUGCUUUGACUGGGAGCUGAGAAUGACAGUUGUUAAGCCAGACUUUUUUUAUUGCUACACACGUGAACGGGAGGGCAUCUCAGAGGUGAUGCAGUGCUGACAACCAGGUGUGCUGCCCUCACCAUGUAAAAGCACUGGGCAUCUCGGGGUGACCUUGUGUUUACAACCAGAGGUACUCUCCUCACUGUGCAGUUAGGCACUGGGCGUCUUAGAGGUGACUCUGUCCUGAUAACCAGGUGUACUCUCCUCACUGUGCACAGGCUAGGGCUAGACAUGGCAGGGACCCAGGUGUGUGCAAGGUGCAGCGUUUGUGCCAUGGGGAGGACCUGCAGGUCCAUCCACCUCCCUAUUCCAGUCCUCAGAAAUGCACUAGGGCACAGUGGCAGUGGGGCAAAAAGCUCUUUGUGUGCUGUGAUGUGAACCUCAGGGUGACUCCAAACCUUAUCGUGCUCCACGUUCUCUUAGGCUGCUGUCAAUAAAUGUUUGAACAAUUUCUCGUAGAUGUCUUUGAAUAUUUCUAUGUCUGUACCUCCUCUUUUGGCAAUGAGUUCCAUAAGUUUACUCUUCAUUACAUAAAUUACUUUCUUUA